Molecule: ribosomal RNA, 241 nt
Filed under: uncultured bacterium
Lineage: Bacteria
Description: partial 16S ribosomal RNA
Rfam family: Bacterial small subunit ribosomal RNA
Source: RNAcentral
AAAGCGGCGGACGGGUGAGUAACGCGUAGGAAUCUACCUGGUAGUGGGGGGACAACUUGGGGAAACCCAAGCUAAUACCGCAUACGCCCUAAGGGGGAAAGCGGGGGGAUCUUCGGACCUCGCGCUAUUGGAUGAGCCUGCGUAGGAUUAGCUUGUUGGUGAGGUAAAAGCUCACCAAGGCGACGAUCCUUAGCUGGUCUGAGAGGAUGAUCAGCCACACUGGAACUGAGACACGGUCCAG